UAGUAGGGCGCCAGCGCGAAGCAGGGUAUGGGGGCGCGAAACAAGAGGACCAUAGGAAGCGUAAGAGGCCCACCAACCAUGACAGAGCACUGGGACUAAACGGACCCCCAAGCAACAUGGUUAGGGCACAGGGGUCUUCGGUUGGGGCGACCACGGGGGAAAGCAAAGCCCCCGAGAGGAUUGGGGGAAACCCUAAAACCAAGAGCCACAGCUCUAAGUCACAAAAUAUUUGACCAAUAAUGAUCCGGCUUGCUGCCGAUCAACGGACCAAGUUACCCUAGGGAUAACAGCGCAAUCCCCUCCCAGAGUCCAUAUCGACGAGGGGGUUUACGACCUCGAUGUUGGAUCAGGACAUCCUAAUGGUGCAGCCGCUAUUAAGGG
This 381-nucleotide ribosomal RNA is filed under the name Opisthonema libertate (Pacific thread herring). Its description in RNAcentral is "partial 16S ribosomal RNA". It matches the Rfam family "Bacterial large subunit ribosomal RNA", at positions 2107 to 2571 of the family's 2925-position model. The record is from RNAcentral. Lineage: Eukaryota; Metazoa; Chordata; Actinopteri; Clupeiformes; Clupeidae.